GAUGAACGCUAGCGGCAGGCUUAAUACAUGCAAGUCGAACGGGAUUUAGGGUAGCAAUACUUUAAUGAGAGUGGCGCACGGGUGCGUAACACGUAUGCAACCUACCUUUAACUGGAAGAUAGCCCCGGGAAAUCGGGAUUAAUAUUUCAUAACACUGCGAAAUGGCAUCAUUUUGCAAUUAAAGCUCCGGCGGUUAAAGAUGGGCAUGCGCGACAUUAGCUAGUUGGUGAGGUAACGGCUCACCAAGGCUACGAUGUCUAGGGGUCCUGAGAGGGUUAUCCCCCACACUGGUACUGAGACACGGACCAGACUCCUACGGGAGGCAGCAGUAAGGAAUAUUGGUCAAUGGGCGCAAGCCUGAACCAGCCAUGCCGCGUGCAGGAAGACGGCCCUAUGGGUUGUAAACUGCUUUUAUCAGGGAAUAAACCUUUGUACGAGUACAGAGCUGAAGGUCCUGAAGAAUAAGCAAUCGGACUAACCCGUGCCAGCAGCCGCGGU
RNAcentral lists this ribosomal RNA (498 nucleotides) under uncultured bacterium. RNAcentral describes it as "bacterial SSU rRNA". It matches the Rfam family "Bacterial small subunit ribosomal RNA", at positions 28 to 521 of the family's 1533-position model. The record is from RNAcentral.